This 655-nucleotide small RNA is filed under the name Pongo abelii (Sumatran orangutan). Its description in RNAcentral is "retained intron". Lineage: Eukaryota; Metazoa; Chordata; Mammalia; Primates; Hominidae. The record is from RNAcentral.
CACAGGUCCUGGAGAUGUGGCUGAGCUACCUGCAGCCGUGGCGGUACGCGCCUGACAAGCAGGCUCCGGGCAGCGACUCCCAGCCCCGGUGUGUGUCGGAGAAAUGGGCGCCCUUUGUCCAGGAGAACCUGCUGAUGUACACCAAGUUGUUUGUGGGCUUCCUGAACCGUGCGCUCCGCACAGACCUGGUCAGCCCCAAGCAUGCGCUCAUGGUGUUCCGAGUGGCCAAAGUCUUUGCCCAGCCCAACCUAGCUGAGAUGAUUCAGAAAGGUGAGCAGCUAUUCCUGGAGCCAGAGCUGGUCAUCCCCCACCGCCAGCACCGACUCUUCACAGCCCCCACAUUCACUGGGAGCUUCCUGUCACCCUGGCCACCAGCGGUCACUGAUGCCUCCUUCAAGGUGAAGAGCCACGUCUAUAGCCUGGAGGGCCAGGACUGCAAGUACACCCCGAUGUUUGGGCCCGAGGCCCGCACCCUGGUGAGUGGGUCGGUGGUGUCUGUCCUCAGGGCCCCUGGAGCCAUGGGGCUGAGCAGAACCCAGGAAGUGCUGUGAUCCAGCAGGAAGGAGGGAGGCUGGGUGUAGAUUUGUCGCCGUAUCUCCUUCUCCCGUUUUAGUAAAGUCUAAUUUUUUCCUGAUAACGAAGGCAGUGUUGGGAA